Molecule: non-coding RNA, 73 nt
Organism: Podarcis lilfordi (Lilford's wall lizard)
Lineage: Eukaryota; Metazoa; Chordata; Lepidosauria; Squamata; Lacertidae
Source: the annotation of a GenBank genome assembly
UGCAUGGCUCUGUCGGUAGAACAUGAGACUCUUAAGCACAGGGUUGUGGGUUCGAGCCCCACGCUCGGCAAAA